UCUAUUAGUUAUGUAUCUACCACAUAUGGCACCGACUACGUAUAAUACCUUAACCUCCUCCAAUGCUAAAAUUUAUUAUCCCUACGAUCAUACUAAUACCCCUGACUUGAUUAUCAAAAAACAACAUAAUUUGAAUUAA
Long non-coding RNA from Balaenoptera musculus (blue whale), 139 nucleotides. RefSeq lists it as uncharacterized. The record is from RefSeq and is a predicted model, not a curated record. The transcript has 3 exons. Lineage: Eukaryota; Metazoa; Chordata; Mammalia; Artiodactyla; Balaenopteridae.